AAGAAAUGAAUAGCCAUUCCGUAGACAGUAGGUAGGGGAAAUUCCCGUAAAUCCGACCGAGGACUUUGAAGAUUGAUUUCAAAAGGUCUUUCCGUCUGCGGAAAGACCUUUCUUAUUUACAAG
Youngiibacter fragilis 232.1 is the source of this 123-nucleotide non-coding RNA. The record is from Rfam. Lineage: Bacteria; Bacillati; Bacillota; Clostridia; Eubacteriales; Clostridiaceae.